CGGGUAGAGUAACACGUGGGUAACCUGCCCUCAAGUGGGGAAUAACGCUGCGAAAGCAGUGCUAAUACCGCAUAAGCUGCGCAAGUAGUAAAGCUACGGCGCUUGAGGAGGGACCUGCGGCUGAUUAGCUAGAUGGUGGGGUAACGGCCUACCAUGGCGAUGAUCAGUAGCCGGCCUGAGAGGGCUGACGGCCACACUGGGACUGAGACACGGCCCAG
Molecule: ribosomal RNA, 218 nt
Filed under: uncultured bacterium
Lineage: Bacteria
Description: partial 16S ribosomal RNA
Rfam family: Bacterial small subunit ribosomal RNA
Source: RNAcentral